AUUGAACGCUGGCGGCAUGCCUUACACAUGCAAGUCGAACGGCAGCACGGGUGCUUGCACCUGGUGGCGAGUGGCGAACGGGUGAGUAAUACAUCGGAACAUGUCCUGUCGUGGGGGAUAGCCCGGCGAAAGCCGGAUUAAUACCGCAUACGAUCUCCGGACGAAAGCGGGGGACCUUCGGGCCUCGCGCUAUCGGGUUGGCCGAUGGCUGAUUAGCUAGUUGGUGGGGUAAAGGCCUACCAAGGCGACGCUCAGUAGCUGGUCUGAGAGGACGACCAGCCACACUGGGACUGAGACACGGCCCAGACUCCUACGGGAGGCAGCAGUGGGGAAUUUUGGACAAUGGGCGAAAGCCUGAUCCAGCAAUGCCGCGUGUGUGAAGAAGGCCUUCGGGUUGUAAAGCACUUUUGUCCGGAAAGAAAUCCUUGGCCCUAAUACGGUCGGGGGAUGACGGUACCGGAAGAAUAAGCACCGGCUAACUACGUG
This 486-nucleotide ribosomal RNA is filed under the name uncultured bacterium. RNAcentral's name for it is "partial 16S ribosomal RNA". It matches the Rfam family "Bacterial small subunit ribosomal RNA", at positions 30 to 507 of the family's 1533-position model. The record is from RNAcentral.